GCCGAGAUGGCGGAAUGGUAGACGCGCACGUUUCAGGGGCGUGUGAGCUUUGCUCAUGGAGGUUCAAGUCCUCUUCUCGGCACCA
Molecule: transfer RNA, 85 nt
Filed under: Candidatus Woesebacteria bacterium
Lineage: Bacteria; Candidatus Woeseibacteriota
Also listed under: 1 other name
Description: tRNA-Leu
Rfam family: tRNA
About the family: Transfer RNA (tRNA) molecules are approximately 80 nucleotides in length.
Source: RNAcentral